This 445-nucleotide ribosomal RNA is filed under the name Phanerotomella sp. CXX-2005. Its description in RNAcentral is "eukaryotic LSU rRNA". Lineage: Eukaryota; Metazoa; Arthropoda; Insecta; Hymenoptera; Braconidae. The record is from RNAcentral.
CCUGAGAACCCAAAAGAUCGAAUGAGGAGAUUCAUCGUCAAAGUAUUUGGUAUUAGUGCAAUUUAUGAUGUAGUAAAUAAUCCUCGUGGUUAGUAUAUUAUACAUUCUUGUACUAUUUUGCUAGGUACGUCGGCGUGCACUUCUCCUCUAGUAGAACGUCGCGACCCGUUGGAUGUUGAUCUAUGGUCUAAAUGGUUGCCUUUGAUUUUGCUUGCAUUGUCGGAGACCUUUAGUAUCCUGAUCAUCUGUUCGACGGUAUACAUAUGGUGUAAAGUCGCUUGUUAUAUGCGUUAAAUCCGCUGCAAGUGUGGUUAAUAAUUCGGCAGUAUGGAUCUGAUGCCAUCGCUGAUUUUGACUCACUGUUAGCAUGUGGUAUUCUUUAACUGACUUAAUACCGGUCAGCGAUGCUACUGCUUUGGGUACUUUCAGGACCCGUCUUGAAACA